GAGGGUAUAGCUCAGUGGUAGAGUGCACGCUUAGAGUGUACGAAGUCCUGGGUUCAAUCCCCAGUACCUCCA
Molecule: transfer RNA, 72 nt
Filed under: Camelus bactrianus (Bactrian camel)
Lineage: Eukaryota; Metazoa; Chordata; Mammalia; Artiodactyla; Camelidae
Also listed under: 2 other names
Rfam family: tRNA
About the family: Transfer RNA (tRNA) molecules are approximately 80 nucleotides in length. Their secondary structure includes four short double-helical elements and three loops (D, anti-codon, and T loops). Further hydrogen bonds mediate the characteristic L-shaped molecular structure. tRNAs have two regions of fundamental functional importance: the anti-codon, which is responsible for specific mRNA codon recognition, and the 3' end, to which the tRNAs corresponding amino acid is attached (by aminoacyl-tRNA synthetases). tRNAs cope with the degeneracy of the genetic code in two manners: having more than one tRNA (with a specific anti-codon) for a particular amino acid; and 'wobble' base-pairing, i.e. permitting non-standard base-pairing at the 3rd anti-codon position.
Source: Rfam by way of RNAcentral